GUGGUCAGAGCGAGCUUCGGAGAAGCAGUGGUGGGUUCCAUGUGAUGGUGGAGUAGGAGGCAGGUCUCCGCGGUUCAUCUGUGUUGCUCUAAAUGACACUGUUUCAUUAUUUUGAUGGCUGGAGAAUAUUUCCUAGUGUAUGUAUAUGAGAGUUUCUUGAUCUCUUUAUCUGUGGAUGAACAGAAGCUCUCAACAUCUCUUCUUAAUUGGAGAAAGUGUUAAGCCCCAAAGUAGCUGGAGCAGUACAUCUUCAAUUUUUGACAAGAAAGCAGGAACUUGAUUACUUUGAGUGCUAUUCAUUAGUUUCUGCUUUCAUUGAGAAUGCAACAAAAGCCAACUAGGCUGCUGCUAACUCCUUGCUGGACUUCUUCUGCCACUGUCACAGGAACUGUAAUCUCACUGGACAAUUAACUAGGGAGUCUUUCAUCUUGAGUGACUGCUGCACAAAUGAUCUUCAAAGCAUUUUAGCCACCAGAGGAAUUCUCUUGAAAUACCCAAAAUCCAUCAGUAUCUUGAAUCAUGCUGGAUUUUGAAGAAUUCUUAACAAGCCAUGUAAAGGGGGCUCUCUGGCCUUGAAAUAGUGAUGUUUUUUAUACAGAAAGGAGAAUGCAGAAUGGUCAGACUACCAUGCACUGUUAAAUUUGAUUUCAAGAAAUUACAGGAAAACUUUCCAAAGUUCCAUCUCACAGAAAUUAUUUUUACAAAGAAUUCCAAGAUAAGUUUAGUUUUAUGGAAGACUUUUAUGUGGUUUUUACUCACUCUUCAUCUCA
This is a long non-coding RNA of Homo sapiens (human), 770 nucleotides long. Ensembl annotates it as double homeobox A pseudogene 9. Its record names the gene DUXAP9. Lineage: Eukaryota; Metazoa; Chordata; Mammalia; Primates; Hominidae. The record is from Ensembl.